ACCCCACUGCUAUCGGGAUAGGACUAAGACAUGCUAGUCGUGCGCUUCCUAGCCAAUUUGGGAGCGCGGCACACAGCUCAGUAACACGUGGCUAACCUGCCCUUGGGACCAGAAUACCCCCGGGAAACUGGGGCUAAUUCUCGAUAGGUGAAGAACUCUGGAAUGAGUCUUCGCUUAAAAGAGGCUGGGGUUAUGCUCUCCAGUUUCGCCCAAGGAUGGGGCCGCGACCGAUCAGGUUGUUGGUGAGGUAAUGGCUCACCAAGCCUUUUACCGGUGCGGGCCGUGAGAGCGGGAGCCCGGAGAUGGGCACUGAGACAAGGGCCCAGGCCCUACGGGGCGCAGCAGUCGCGAAAACUUUGCAAUAAGCGAAAGCUUGACAGGGCUAUCCCGAGUGCCAUCCGCUGAGGAAGGCUUUUACCCAGUCUAGAACGCUGGGGGAAUAAGGAGAGGGCAAGUCUGGUGUCAGCCGCCGCGGUAAUACCAGCUCUCCGAGUGGUGUGGAUGUUUAUUGGGCCUAAAGCAUCCGUAGCUGGCUAGGUUAGUCCCCUGUUAAAUCCACCGAAUUAAUCGUUGGAUUGCGGGGGAUACUGCUUGGCUAGGGGACGAGAGAGGCAGACGGUAUUUCCGGGGUAGGGGUGAAAUCCUAUAAUCCCGGGAAGACCACCAGUGGCGAAGGCUGUCUGCUAGAACGCGCCCGACGGUGAGGGAUGAAAGCUGGGGGAGCGGACCGGAUUAGAUACCCGGGUAGUCCCAGCUGUAAACGAUGCAGACUAGGUGUUUGGACGGCCACGUGCCGUUCUAGUGCCGCAGGGAAGCUGUUAAGUCUGCCGCCUGGGGAGUACGAUCGCAAGAUUGAAACUUAAAGGAAU
Molecule: ribosomal RNA, 869 nt
Filed under: uncultured crenarchaeote
Lineage: Archaea; Thermoproteati; Thermoproteota
Description: bacterial SSU rRNA
Rfam family: Archaeal small subunit ribosomal RNA
Source: RNAcentral